AAAAAAAACAUAGUGAAGAUGGGUAGAAGAUAAAAGCUGGUUUUGAAAAUUCAGAGAAUGGUGGGGUUAGAAAAUUACCAGCUUUUAUCUUCUACACAUCUUCACUAUGUUUUUUUUU
Molecule: non-coding RNA, 118 nt
Organism: Dictyostelium firmibasis
Lineage: Eukaryota; Evosea; Eumycetozoa; Dictyosteliales; Dictyosteliaceae
Source: the annotation of a GenBank genome assembly